UCUGGUGACCACAGCGGAGGGGCAACACCCGUACCCAUCCCGAACACGGACGUGAAGACCUCCAGCGCCGAGAAUACUGG
This 80-nucleotide ribosomal RNA is filed under the name Alicyclobacillus mali (ex Roth et al. 2021). The record is from RNAcentral. Lineage: Bacteria; Bacillati; Bacillota; Bacilli; Caryophanales; Alicyclobacillaceae.